RNAcentral lists this ribosomal RNA (578 nucleotides) under Saccharomyces cerevisiae (brewer's yeast). Its description in RNAcentral is "partial large subunit ribosomal RNA". It matches the Rfam family "Eukaryotic large subunit ribosomal RNA", at positions 73 to 664 of the family's 3401-position model. The record is from RNAcentral. Lineage: Eukaryota; Fungi; Ascomycota; Saccharomycetes; Saccharomycetales; Saccharomycetaceae.
UGACCUUAGUACGGCGAGUGAAGCGGCAAAAGCUCAAAUUUGAAAUCUGGUACCUUCGGUGCCCGAGUUGUAAUUUGGAGAGGGCAACUUUGGGGCCGUUCCUUGUCUAUGUUCCUUGGAACAGGACGUCAUAGAGGGUGAGAAUCCCGUGUGGCGAGGAGUGCGGUUCUUUGUAAAGUGCCUUCGAAGAGUCGAGUUGUUUGGGAAUGCAGCUCUAAGUGGGUGGUAAAUUCCAUCUAAAGCUAAAUAUUGGCGAGAGACCGAUAGCGAACAAGUACAGUGAUGGAAAGAUGAAAAGAACUUUGAAAAGAGAGUGAAAAAGUACGUGAAAUUGUUGAAAGGGAAGGGCAUUUGAUCAGACAUGGUGUUUUGUGCCCUCUGCUCCUUGUGGGUAGGGGAAUCUCGCAUUUCACUGGGCCAGCAUCAGUUUUGGUGGCAGGAUAAAUCCAUAGGAAUGUAGCUUGCCUCGGUAAGUAUUAUAGCCUGUGGGAAUACUGCCAGCUGGGACUGAGGACUGCGACGUAAGUCAAGGAUGCUGGCAUAAUGGUUAUAUGCCGCCCGUCUUAAAAACCGGACAC